RNAcentral lists this ribosomal RNA (490 nucleotides) under uncultured bacterium. RNAcentral's name for it is "partial 16S ribosomal RNA". It matches the Rfam family "Bacterial small subunit ribosomal RNA", at positions 28 to 507 of the family's 1533-position model. The record is from RNAcentral.
GAUGAACGCUGGCGGCAUGCCUAAUACAUGCAAGUCGAGCGGCCACACGACGUGCUUUCUCCGCUUGCGUUCGCGUGGCACGGGGGAGUGUCAUGCAUCGAACCUAGCUUUUUGACUGGGGAUACUGUAGGAAACGUUAGCCUAUAACGGCAUAUUUACUGAACCGGAAAGCACGAGAGUUAAAGGCGUUGUUCCUGACGAUUGUACCUUGCCGCAUUAGCUAGUUGGUAAGGUAAAGGCUUACCAAGGCAACGAUCCGUAGCGGGUCUGAGAGGAUGAUCCGCCACACUGGAACUGAGACACGGUCCAGACUCCUACGGGAGGCAGCAGUAGGGAAUCUUGCGCAAUGGGCGAAAGCCUGACCGAGCAACGCCGCGUGAGUGAUGAAGGUCUUCGGAUCGUAAAACUCUGUUAUUAGGGAAGAAAAAACGUGUAAGUAACUAUGCACGUCUUGACGGUACCUGAUCAGAAAGCAACGGCUAACUACGUG